GAAUUCGCCCUUAGAGUUUGAUCCUGGCUCAGGAUGAGCGCUGGCGGCAUGCCUAACACAUGCAAGUCGAACGGGGUUUAUAUAACAGAACUCUCCGGAGGGAAGAUAUAUAAACCUAGUGGCGGACGGGUGAGUAACGCGUGGGCAACCUGCCCUGUACCGGGGGACAACAGCCAGAAAUGGCUGCUAAUACCGCAUAAGCCUGCGGUGCCGCAUGGCACAGCAGGGAAAACCACGGUGGUACAGGAUGGGCCCGCGUCUGAUUAGUUAGUUGGCAGGGUAACGGCCUACCAAGACGAUGAUCAGUAGCCGGCUUGAGAGAGUGGACGGCCACAUUGGGACUGAGAUACGGCCCAGACUCCUACGGGAGGCAGCAGUGGGGAAUAUUGGGCAAUGGACGCAAGUCUGACCCAGCAACGCCGCGUGAAGGAAGAAGGCUUUCGGGUUGUAAACUUCUUUUAAGGGGGAAGAGCAGAAGACGGUACCCCUUGAAUAAGCCACGGCUAACUACGUGCCAGCAGCCGCGGUAAUACGUAGGUGGCAAGCGUCGUCCGGAUUUACUGGGUGUAAAGGGCGUGCAGCCGGAGAGACAAGUCAGAUGUGAAAUCCGCAGGCUCAACCUGCGAACUGCAUUUGAAACUGUUUCCCUUGAGUAUCGGAGAGGUCAUCGGAAUUCCUAGUGUAGCGGUGAAAUGCGUAGAUAUUAGGAAGAACACCAGUGGCGAAGGCGGAUGACUGGACGACAACUGACGGUGAGGCGCGAAAGCGUGGGGAGCAAACAGGAUUAGAUACCCUGGUAGUCCACGCUGUAAACGAUCAAUACUAGGUGUGCGGGGACUGACCCCCUGCGUGCCGGAGUUAACACAAUAAGUAUUGCACCUGGGGAGUACGAUCGCAAGGUUGAAACUCAAAGGAAUUGACGGGGGCCCGCACAAGCGGUGGAUUAUGUGGUUUAAUUCGAAGCAACGCGAAGAACCUUACCAGGGCUUGACAUCCUACUAACGAAGUAGAGAUACAUCAGGUGCCCUUCGGGGAAAGUAGAGACAGGUGGUGCAUGGUUGUCGUCAGCUCGUGUCGUGAGAUGUUGGGUUAAGUCCCGCAACGAGCGCAACCCCUAUUGUUAGUUGCUACGCAAGAGCACUCUAGCGAGACUGCCGUUGACAAAACGGAGGAAGGCGGGGACGACGUCAAAUCAUCAUGCCCCUUAUGUCCUGGGCUACACACGUAAUACAAUGGCGGUCAACAGAGGGAUGCAAAGCCGCGAGGCCGAGCGAACCCCUAAAAGCCGUCCCAGUUCGGAUUGCAGGCUGCAACCCGCCUGCAUGAAGUCGGAAUCGCUAGUAAUCGCGGAUCAGCAUGCCGCGGUGAAUACGUUCCCGGGCCUUGUACACACCGCCCGUCA
This 1402-nucleotide ribosomal RNA is filed under the name uncultured bacterium. Its description in RNAcentral is "bacterial SSU rRNA". It matches the Rfam family "Bacterial small subunit ribosomal RNA". The record is from RNAcentral.